This 296-nucleotide long non-coding RNA is filed under the name Lathyrus oleraceus (garden pea). RNAcentral describes it as "Pisum sativum (pea) long non-coding RNA (PSAT_LNC033508)". The record is from RNAcentral. Lineage: Eukaryota; Viridiplantae; Streptophyta; Magnoliopsida; Fabales; Fabaceae.
AAAAACCUGCUACCAACAUUUCCUGCAGUAGCAGACCAACAAAACCAACAUAACACUGCAGCAGAAAAUUGGAUUCAUCUUGCCCUCACCUUGCAUUUUCUGUCCAAAAAGCUACCACAAACAACAUUCACACUUCUCUCCAACCUCACUCUUGCUAUGCAUUUAUGUUUUGCUGCCAAAGACUUCAAAAUGACAUGAACCUUGCCUUACCUUGCAACAUAAACCAGCAUAAAACCACACUGUCAUAGACCAACCUUGCCAACUCAAAACAGCAGAACAAGCAUCAUCUCACUAGC